Long non-coding RNA from Jatropha curcas, 1071 nucleotides. RefSeq lists it as uncharacterized. NCBI's taxonomy places the organism in Eukaryota, Viridiplantae, Streptophyta, Magnoliopsida, Malpighiales, Euphorbiaceae. The record is from RefSeq and is a predicted model, not a curated record.
UUUGUUUUCAUUGCAGACGUGUCGCUCAAAAGACGAACAAGGAAAGCUCCAGCCGAGUGAAUACAUUUAUAAACAUUUGAAAUAUGUUAAGCUUGGUGGAUUUUAUGGAACCCCAAACCAAAUUGAGUUUGCUAAAUAUUUUUGAAGAAUGCUUUGACCCUUGAAGAAUUGGUCAUCAAGCAAGAAGUGAAUUUUCAUGUCGAGAAGAGGCAGUCAUGGGAUGAAGGAGAAGGCCAAAUGAUUACUCAGACACGGGAAGAAUUUUACAAAGAAAUAAAUGCUAAUUGUCGACUGAGCAUUCAUUGACAAUUCGAUGGUUUUAAAGAAAAAGAGGCUAGACAAGGGUAGCUAGCAACGCAACGAACAGAAGCCACAGAGUGGGCAUCAAAAGUAAGAAGAGGCAGCAGACUCAGUGGAGGGUCAUCCAAUAGCUGAACUCUAUAAGGCAAGUGAUGAGCUUCUUUGAACAGAUGAUCAGCACAUCUGUUAGCCUCUCGGAAAAUAUGGGAUAGCUGCUGAAUAAAGCCCAACUGCAAAAAAAACUUUAUGCGGGCAACUAAGGAUCGAAAGGCAAUUGUAGGCUCAAGAACUCCAUUUAACAAUUUGCACUGCAGCAAGAUUAUUGCAUUCCACAAUAACAUUAGACAGGACAUGCGUGUGAGCUAACUGGAUGCCAAUGAAGAGAGCCCAUAACUCCACUCCCAGCACCGAAGUAACGCCUACAUUGGCCAAGAAACCCCUCUACCAACGGCCCAAGCUAUCACGAAUUAAACCGCCAACAAAACCACAACCACCCAAAGCCAGAACGGAAGCAUCAGUAUUCAAUUUCAACAUGUUAUUCCUAGGGGGCCACCGGGACACCCAUUGAUUAGUCUUAGGAGCAACUGUAAGCUCAAGGCGAUGCUUCAUAACAUUAUAAUCCUAAGCAAAUUUUUUUGUAGCAUGAAGUAACUCCUCCACAGAUAAACUAUGGCUUUGAAAAAACCAGAAAAGCCCAUUUGUCUUUGCCCUCCAAUGACUUUACUUUUAAUUUAAUUCAAGUAAAAUAAAGAUUAUUUGUGAUUUUCUAAA